Long non-coding RNA from Ipomoea nil (Japanese morning glory), 885 nucleotides. RefSeq lists it as uncharacterized. The record is from RefSeq and is a predicted model, not a curated record. The transcript is spliced from 6 exons. NCBI's taxonomy places the organism in Eukaryota, Viridiplantae, Streptophyta, Magnoliopsida, Solanales, Convolvulaceae.
AAGACAAAACAAAAACAAAAUUUCUUCCGCCAUUUCAUUUUGCCCCAGAUCCAAAUCCAUCGCCUUCUUCCCAGAAAAUCUACCCUCCGUCGUCCGCCUUGUUCGCCGCCAGCCACCGCCUCAGCCUUAGCCACACUUGAAGUUAAAAAGUUAAAUAAGAAAACCCUAAUCUCUCGUUGCCUCUGGAUUCUGGAUACGCCAUUGCUGCCGACAAUGCUCCAGUGCUCCCCGCUGCCUCUCGGUGCAGAACGACGACGACGUAGAAGACCAAACGCCACCUCCCGCUCCCUAUCGUUGUCGCCGUCACGGACGUUGCAGAUCAGCCGAUAGUCCGACACCUACCGCUGCCUCCCUGUCCCUCUCGCUAUCGCCGCCAUCGAUGGAGUAGAUCAUCCGCCAAUUCGCCACCUACCACUAGUAUAUUAUGUAUCCUCUGGUAAUUCUUAUCUUUUUAAUUACAAGAAUAUAAAAACUGGAGGCUAAGGAGAAGCGCCUGAGAUAGAGAAAAGCCAAGAAAGAAUUCACGAUGAUGUUGGAAGAGUCCAAGGAACUUACAUCAUCAACAAGAUGGAUCAAGGCAGUAACAAUGUUUGAAGAUGAUGAACGGUUCAAGGCUGUUGAAAGAGAGGCAGAUCGUGAAGAUCUCUUUAGAAACUAUUUAGUUGAUCUUCAGAAAAAGGAAAACGCAAAUGCUCAAGAGGACUACCAAUAAUGAGGGAGAAAAUGGGGACACUCUUUGCAGAGAUUUUGAAGAAAGUAUACUUCAAGGAAGGUUUCUUCAAUGUUGAUCGUCAACUGGGAAUUUGAUACGCACUCCAAAUGGAAAGCUAGCUAUACUUGAUUUUGUUCCAACAAGUUGAUUAUGACAAAGCGGUUAUUGAUCUG